GGCGACCGGCGCACGGGUGCGUAACGCGUAUGCAACCUACCCAUUACAGGGGGAUAACACUGAGAAAUCGGUACUAAUACCCCAUAACAUCCAGGGAGGCAUCUUCUUGGGUUGAAAACUCCGGUGGUAAUGGAUGGGCAUGCGUUGUAUUAGUUAGUUGGUGGGGUAACGGCUCACCAAGACCACGAUACAUAGGGGGACUGAGAGGUUAACCCCCCACAUUGGUACUGAGACACGGACCAAACUCCUACGGGAGGCAGCAGUGAGGAAUAUUGGUCAAUGGACGCAAGUCUGAACCAGCCAUGCCGCGUGCAGGAAGACGGCUCUAUGAGUUGUAAACUGCUUUUGUACGAGGGUAAACGCAGAUACGCGUAUCUGUCUGAAAGUAUCGUACGAAUAAGGAUCGGCUAACUCCGUGCCAGCAGCCGCGGUAAUACGUAGGUGGCAAGCGUUAUCCGGAUUUACUGGGUGUAAAGGGCGUGUAGGCGGGAAAGCAAGUCAGAUGUGAAAACCAUAGGCUCAACCUGUGGCCUGCAUUUGAAACUGUUUUUCUUGAGUACUGGAGAGGCAGACGGAAUUCCUCGUGUAGCGGUGAAAUGCGUAGAUAUGAGGAGGAACACCAGUGGCGAAGGCGGUCUGCUGGACAGCAACUGACGCUGAGGCGCGAAAGCGUGGGGAGCAAACAGGAUUAGAUACCCUGGUAGUCCACGCUGUAAACGAUGGAUACUAGG
RNAcentral lists this ribosomal RNA (731 nucleotides) under uncultured bacterium. RNAcentral describes it as "bacterial SSU rRNA". It matches the Rfam family "Bacterial small subunit ribosomal RNA", at positions 90 to 820 of the family's 1533-position model. The record is from RNAcentral.